UACGUAGGGGGCAAGCGUUGUCCGGAUUUAUUGGGCGUAAAGAGCGUGUAGGCGGCCAUGUAGGUCCGUUGUGAAAACUCGAGGCUCAACCUCGAGACGCCGAUGGAAACCAUGUGGCUAGAGUCCGGAAGAGGAGAGUGGAAUUCCUGGUGUAGCGGUGAAAUGCGCAGAUAUCAGGAAGAACACCCGUGGCUAAGGCGGCUCUCUAGUACGGUACUGACGCUGAGACGCGAAAGCGUGGGGAGCAAACAGG
Molecule: ribosomal RNA, 253 nt
Filed under: uncultured bacterium
Lineage: Bacteria
Description: partial 16S ribosomal RNA
Rfam family: Bacterial small subunit ribosomal RNA
Source: RNAcentral